Molecule: long non-coding RNA, 343 nt
Organism: Oncorhynchus tshawytscha (Chinook salmon)
Lineage: Eukaryota; Metazoa; Chordata; Actinopteri; Salmoniformes; Salmonidae
Source: Ensembl
GCACGGGGAGGAGGAGAGAGAGGGGGAGGUGGAGAGAGACAGGCACGGGGAGGAGGAGAGAGAGGAUGAGGUGGAGAGAGACAGGCAUGGGGAGGUGGAGAGAGGGCAUGAGGUGGAGAGAGACAGGCACGGGGAGGUGGAGAGAGGGCAUGAGGUGGAGAGAGAGAGGAUGAGGAAGAGAGAGAGAGGAUGAGGUGGAGAGAGAGAGGCACGGGGAGGAGGAGAGAGAGGAUGAGGUGGAGAGAGAGAGAGAGGAGCUCCAGCAUCAGACUAUGAGACCUGCCAAAUCACAAAUCUAUUUCCAACGUCGGUAUUAAUUAUCAAACUGAAGCCGCUGGUGCAU